UUGAUAUCAUGAUGGAAGCAUCUCAUUUUCAGAUUUCAAACUUUUAGAUAUGCAGAAUCUCUAUCAAAAGAGCCAGUAUCUUGGAGGUUCUGCUGUGAAGAUAUUUUGACGAUGUGAAGUCACUCCUUAAUCCACUGACUGAGUUAAUCAAAACGAUUUUGGUGGCUCUGCCUAAUUAAGAAAGACUGAAGAGAAAAAAGUAGACAAAGGUCUUCAUGAUUCUGAGAGGAAGUUUUUCUAUGUAAGGAAGCUGUCAGAGGAUUUGCUCCAUCCCAAUCAGGACUUAAAUCAGGAGAAGAGAAAUAUUCAACAAAGCUCCAGUAUAUGAGGAUGGACAGGAAAUACCCAGAUGAUGGCUUACUGCAGCCUGUAAACUGUCUAGUUUGGGAUAAGAGGCCUUGAGGGUUCAGGAGAUAUGUAUUUUUUUUUUAACUGAUGAUAUAUUACCUGAAAAUAUCUAUCAUCAUAUUGAGUAUUGAUAGAAGUUCAGAAUAAAAUCAUUUGGUAGGUAUACAGGAAACAGAAAAAGUAUUGCCCUUAUGUUAACUUAAUAGAGAAAAUAAAACCAAGGAGUUGAAGAAAAUGGAGAGAUA
Molecule: long non-coding RNA, 593 nt
Organism: Capra hircus (goat)
Lineage: Eukaryota; Metazoa; Chordata; Mammalia; Artiodactyla; Bovidae
Exons: 4
Source: RefSeq, a predicted model, not a curated record